AUCACUUCUCAGCCUUUUAGAUAAGAUCAAGUACAGUAUCUGUUCUUAUUAGUUCAAUAUCUUAUACUUUCUCUGUAUAAACACAAUGUAUUAAAUAGACUUUUGGAAAUAAGAGAUGGGAUAGGAGCUUGCUCUGUUUACUCCAUGCAUCAACCUGGUCUUGUAGUACUUUCAGGAAGAAAAGAAA
Small nuclear RNA from Prolemur simus (greater bamboo lemur), 187 nucleotides. Its record names the gene U2. It matches the Rfam family "U2 spliceosomal RNA". Rfam says of the family: U2 is a small nuclear RNA (snRNA) component of the spliceosome (involved in pre-mRNA splicing). Complementary binding between U2 snRNA (in an area lying towards the 5' end but 3' to hairpin I) and the branchpoint sequence (BPS) of the intron results the bulging out of an unpaired adenosine, on the BPS, which initiates a nucleophilic attack at the intronic 5' splice site, thus starting the first of two transesterification reactions that mediate splicing. The record is from Ensembl. Lineage: Eukaryota; Metazoa; Chordata; Mammalia; Primates; Lemuridae.